This 253-nucleotide ribosomal RNA is filed under the name uncultured bacterium. Its description in RNAcentral is "partial 16S ribosomal RNA". It matches the Rfam family "Bacterial small subunit ribosomal RNA", at positions 524 to 776 of the family's 1533-position model. The record is from RNAcentral.
UACAGAGGUCUCAAGCGUUAAUCGGAAUUACUGGGCUUAAAGGGUCCGCAGGCGGUCUGACAAGUACCUUGUGAAAUAUCAGGUCUCAACCCUGAAACUGCUCGGUAGACUGUCAGACUUGAGUGCAAAAGGGGUCGCUGGAACUCUAGGUGGAGCGGUGAAAUGCGUAGAUAUCUAGAGGAACGCCAAAGGUGAAGACAGGCGACUGGUUUGCAACUGACGCUCAUGGACGAAAGCGUGGGGAUCAAACAGG